This 168-nucleotide ribosomal RNA is filed under the name uncultured bacterium. Its description in RNAcentral is "partial 16S rRNA". It matches the Rfam family "Bacterial small subunit ribosomal RNA", at positions 351 to 511 of the family's 1533-position model. The record is from RNAcentral.
CAGGUAGGGAAUCUUCGGCAAUGGACGAAAGUCUGACCGAGCAACGCCGCGUGAGUGAAGAAGGUUUUCGGAUCGUAAACUCUGUUGGUAGAGAAGAACGUUGGUGAGAGUGGAAAGCUCAUCAAGUGACGGUAACUACCCAGAAAGGGACGGCUAACUACGUGCCAA